Non-coding RNA from Paramuricea clavata, 519 nucleotides. Lineage: Eukaryota; Metazoa; Cnidaria; Anthozoa; Malacalcyonacea; Plexauridae. The record is from the annotation of a GenBank genome assembly.
AUGUAGUAAAUGUGGCUUCCAAUGUAGAAAAUAUGAAUCAUAUUUUGAAAUAUCUGUAGUACUGCGGACAUAAACCAAGGCGUUAAAAAAUAGUAUAAAUUAAAAACCCCGCCCGCCCACUUUUUGGCAAAAGCUAUAAGGAUGCUAACCAACUAUUUCUUUUAUGUGGCCUAACUGCGUCUUAUAUGCGUGCACAAUCCGAAAUCGAACGCGUUUUUCUCAUGACGUAUUCGUACACGCCACUAGAGACUCCUGCCCACUGGCCUAUGUAACUCCAAUGCUCCUGCCAUGAAACACGUUAUUAUGAAACACGUCAAUAUAGAAUUGACUAAUACAGUAUUUUCAAUUGUUUGUAAAUGAUAUGUUGAAACAGAGACAGGAUAAGUACAAUAUAUGGUUAAACGUGAAAAGAGUCAGGUGUAAAUACAUCACUGUUGCACUUUUAUUGCGUGAUUGUGAAUUUCACUCGAAACCUUAGUGACUUACUUCUUCGCUGGUUCUUACUUUAUAAUAAUUCUG